Molecule: ribosomal RNA, 510 nt
Filed under: uncultured bacterium
Lineage: Bacteria
Description: bacterial SSU rRNA
Rfam family: Bacterial small subunit ribosomal RNA
Source: RNAcentral
GAUGAACGCUAGCGGCAGGCUUAACACAUGCAAGUCGAGGGGCAGCGCGAUGUAGCAAUACAUUGGCGGCGACCGGCGCACGGGUGCGUAACACGUAUGGAACUUACCCUUUACUGGGAGAUAGCCCGGAGAAAUCCGGAUUAAUAUCCCAUAAUAAACGAAGUGGCAUCACUUUGUUUUGAAAGCUCCGGCGGUAAAGGAUGGCCAUGCGCACGAUUAGCUAGUAGGUGAGGUAACGGCUCACCUAGGCUACGAUCGUUAGGGGGCCUGAGAGGGUUAUCCCCCACACUGGUACUGAGACACGGACCAGACUCCUACGGGAGGCAGCAGUGAGGAAUAUUGCGCAAUGGAGGCAACUCUGACGCAGCCAUGCCGCGUGCAGGAAGAAGGCGCUACGCGUUGUAAACUGCUUUUAACCGGGAAGAAACCCUCCGACGUGUCGGAGGUUGACGGUACCGGAGGAAUAAGCACCGGCUAACUUCGUGCCAGCAGCCGCGGUAAAGUCGUACG